AUUGAACGCUGGCGGCAGGCCUAACACAUGCAAGUCGAACGAGUGGCGGACGGGUGAGUAAUGUCUGGGAAACUGCCUGACGGAGGGGGAUAACUACUGGAAACGGUAGCUAAUAUCGCAUACCAUCGGAUGUGCCCAGAUGGGAUUAGCUAGUAGGUGGGGUAACGGCUCACCUAGGCGACGACCCCUAGCUGGGCUGAGAGGUUGACCAGCCACACUGGAACUGAGACACGGUCCAGACUCCUACGGGAGGCAGCAGUGGGGAAUAUUGCGCAAUGGACGCAAGCCUGAUGCAGCCAUGCCGCGUGUAUGAAGAAGGCCUUCGGAUAGUAAAAAGCUUUCGGCAGGGAGGCGUUACGCGCAGAAAAAGCGCCGGCUAACUCCGUGCCAGCCGCCGCGGUAAUAC
Molecule: ribosomal RNA, 406 nt
Filed under: uncultured bacterium
Lineage: Bacteria
Description: partial 16S ribosomal RNA
Rfam family: Bacterial small subunit ribosomal RNA
Source: RNAcentral